UACGGAGGGAGCUAGCGUUGUUCGGAAUUACUGGGCGUAAAGCGCGCGUAGGCGGCUUUGUAAGUUAGAGGUGAAAGCCCGGGGCUCAACCCCGGAACUGCCUUUAAGACUGCAUCGCUUGAAUCCGGGAGAGGUGAGUGGAAUUCCGAGUGUAGAGGUGAAAUUCGUAGAUAUUAGGAAGAACACCAGUGGCGAAGGCGGCUCACUGGUCCGGUACUGACGCUGAGGUGCGAAAGCGUGGGGAGCAAACAGG
Molecule: ribosomal RNA, 253 nt
Filed under: uncultured bacterium
Lineage: Bacteria
Description: partial 16S ribosomal RNA
Rfam family: Bacterial small subunit ribosomal RNA
Source: RNAcentral